This 62-nucleotide transfer RNA is filed under the name Cordulia shurtleffii. RNAcentral's name for it is "tRNA-Ala". It matches the Rfam family "tRNA". From Rfam's summary of the family: Transfer RNA (tRNA) molecules are approximately 80 nucleotides in length. Their secondary structure includes four short double-helical elements and three loops (D, anti-codon, and T loops). Further hydrogen bonds mediate the characteristic L-shaped molecular structure. tRNAs have two regions of fundamental functional importance: the anti-codon, which is responsible for specific mRNA codon recognition, and the 3' end, to which the tRNAs corresponding amino acid is attached (by aminoacyl-tRNA synthetases). tRNAs cope with the degeneracy of the genetic code in two manners: having more than one tRNA (with a specific anti-codon) for a particular amino acid; and 'wobble' base-pairing, i.e. permitting non-standard base-pairing at the 3rd anti-codon position. The record is from RNAcentral. Lineage: Eukaryota; Metazoa; Arthropoda; Insecta; Odonata; Corduliidae.
GGUAAUAGUUAAAUAUAACAUUUGAUUUGCAUUCAAAAGGUGUUGAAUAAUCAACUUACCUU